This is a small nucleolar RNA of Spea bombifrons (plains spadefoot toad), 73 nucleotides long. RefSeq annotates it as small nucleolar RNA SNORD49. NCBI's taxonomy places the organism in Eukaryota, Metazoa, Chordata, Amphibia, Anura, Pelobatidae. The record is from RefSeq and is a predicted model, not a curated record. The transcript has a single exon.
UCACAUGAUGAGAUUCAGGAUAUAGGAAGUGCCGUCAGAUGCGAUAACUGAUGAGAACUUUCCUGCUCUGAGU